GACGAACGCUGGCGGCGUGCUUAACACAUGCAAGUCGAACGGAAAGGCCCUGCUUUUGUGGGGUGCUCGAGUGGCGAACGGGUGAGUAACACGUGAGUAACCUGCCCUUGACUUUGGGAUAACUUCAGGAAACUGGGGCUAAUACCGGAUAGGAGCUCCUGCUGCAUGGUGGGGGUUGGAAAGUUUCGGCGGUUGGGGAUGGACUCGCGGCUUAUCAGCUUGUUGGUGGGGUAGUGGCUUACCAAGGCUUUGACGGGUAGCCGGCCUGAGAGGGUGACCGGCCACAUUGAUACUGAGAUACGGCCCAGACUCCUACGUGAGGCAGCAGUCGGGAAUAUUGCACAAUGGGCGGAAGCCUGAUGCAGCAACGCCGCGUGCGUGAUGACGGCCUUCGGGUUGUAAACCGCUUUCGCCUAUUACGAAGCGUGAUUGACGGUAAUGGGUAAAGAAGCACCGGCUAACUACGUG
This 468-nucleotide ribosomal RNA is filed under the name uncultured bacterium. RNAcentral describes it as "partial 16S ribosomal RNA". It matches the Rfam family "Bacterial small subunit ribosomal RNA", at positions 28 to 507 of the family's 1533-position model. The record is from RNAcentral.